Molecule: non-coding RNA, 136 nt
Filed under: Lysobacter sp.
Lineage: Bacteria; Pseudomonadati; Pseudomonadota; Gammaproteobacteria; Lysobacterales; Lysobacteraceae
Also listed under: 1 other name
Description: SAM-I sequence
Rfam family: SAM riboswitch aptamer (S box leader)
About the family: The SAM riboswitch is found upstream of a number of genes which code for proteins involved in methionine or cysteine biosynthesis in Gram-positive bacteria. The SAM riboswitch acts at the level of transcription termination control.
Source: RNAcentral
CAUCCAUCGAGACCGGCUGAGGGACAGGCCCUUUGACGCCGGGGCAACCUACCGCUUCCACCGCAUUGCGGUGACGGCGGGAAGGUGCCAACUCCUGCGGACCAGCCGCUUCGCGCUGUGAUCCGGAAGAUGGUUG